Molecule: long non-coding RNA, 4367 nt
Organism: Cercocebus atys (sooty mangabey)
Lineage: Eukaryota; Metazoa; Chordata; Mammalia; Primates; Cercopithecidae
Exons: 2
Source: RefSeq, a predicted model, not a curated record
GCCGCCCGGUGUGGCGUUGGGAGCGCGGGACCCGGUCCCCGGAGGGCGCCGACCUCGCGGUGCCGGAGGAGGGCGCGCGGUCUCCGGGCGCGCGGCACGGGUGCAGCCCAGCAAGGGCCCUUCUGUCCUGGCUGCCCUCGGCCCUUGCAGCUGCGAGCUCAGCGCGCAUCCUAAGCCAGCGUACUGGGCCGUCGCGGGGGCCGCAGCCAGGAGAGGCAGCCCGCGUCUCCGACGCGCGGUUCCCAGGCGGAGCCACGCGUCACGCCGGCCUGACUGCAAGGGAGGCUCGCUUCUCCCCCGGCCGUCUGCAGGAGGGAGGUAAACCCGCCUUUCUCCAAAUCGGUCUGGAGGGGAUCCAGGUUUCUCUUGGUCGGGUCCCGGGCAAGGCAGCGACCCCAGCUUUCCCCACUCUGGCCCUGAAGGAGAGGGUACCCGAUUCUCAAAGACCGGCCCCGGGCGGGACGGCCACUCCGGCUUCCCUAGAUAGGACUCUUCAGGAGAAGGGACUUUGGCUUCUCCCUAACCGGUCCUGGGGCGCGAGAAGGAGGGGCAGGGACAGCCUAAAGCUCCUCGAAAGGGUCCUUGGAAAGAACCCCAAAUUAUUCUCUCGUGGUCCCAGACGAGAUGGAGGAUCUUGGGUUUCCAGAACAGGUUCCCAGUAGGGACAGGGUCCUCGAAGAUGGAAAGAGAAGCCCCGAUGCCCAAGGCCUGCUCCCUGGAGGCCGGGGAACCUUGGCUCCGGCAGCUCGGAGUCUCCGCGUCCCAGGGAUGUAGCGCCUACGCUGCUUGGCUGAGAGCUGGGUUUCGGGAGCUCAGGGAGGAGGUGUCCAAGCAGGUGAGCGCCUCCUGGGCGGGACAGGCAGCUCGACUAGCACCAACCUGAAGACGCCUGACUGUAUCCCCAGGCCCGCCACCUCGCUCCUCAGCAGGGUCAUCUCCCAGACAUCGUUUCCCCGUGCAGCAGCCGCCGCUCUCCGGGUCGGGGACAGUUCCCCAGAGAGCCUUGGACGGAAGCGGUGGGAGCAACACAGGAUAAAGUUUGGGGCAGUGUCAGCGGGCGCCAGGGCCACGCUGGAGACCAAAGCCAGGGGCCACCCUUCUUGGAGCGCUUUUCCCUCUUUCCCGGGUUUGUGUCCCCGACUUUCUCCACCCUGAGCUACCCCAAGCCGGCUCCUUGGUGCCCCUGGCACCUUGGCGUGCUGAGCACUUUGCCAGGAAUAAUCUGACCCCGGCGCGCAGCUGCACAAAGAAAGAUUUUGGGCGGAGAACACCCCUCCCAGCCCGGGAGGGAGUGCGCGGCUUGGCACCCUGGCUGGAGCGAGCUGCGCCGACGGGCGGCGACUGCCACUCGGUGGAGCCGGGAGGCGGCCAAUCCUCCCUGUGGACCGCAGGGAAGCGAGUGUGACUUCACUGGCCUAUUCAGCCCUCCCCAAAACUGAGGACCUGAGUUCACAGGGGAAACUGUCCCCGCUCCACGUAGCAGAGAAAGAAGUGGCUCUGGAGUCCAACAGACUUGGGUUUACUCGCUGUGUGACCCUGUGCAAGUCAUUUAAUUUCUCUGCACCUAUUUCCUAGCAAAAAAAAAAAAAAAAAAGCCAAACAGACAAACCAAAAAAGCUGUUUAUCCACCCUCUCUUGGUGGUAGGAAGUAAAUGAGUUUACAAAGGUGAGUGUGCCUGAGCUAAAAGAGAUGCCUAAUAAGCGUAAGAGUUGAAUGUGAGGCCUUUAUUGGUUUACUAAUGGAGGUAGGUUCUUGAUCAGAUUUUUGUUUUUGAAGAGCAUGUGUGCGUUUGAAAGCAGGUUUCAUCAGCUCUCCUCCAGUCCCAUUCAUCCACCAGUGAAUGGUGGUUAUUUGGGUCCUCAUGAAUUAAUUGAAUUAAUGAAUGAGGUAUUUCUUCAUAUCAGGAGCCUUGGCUAAGACUGUUGCGAAUCCAAGCCCAGGAGGAUUGUUUCAGUGGCUUAGGCUAGUCUGGGGUUCAGGCCAAGUGUACCCAGUGUCUCUUUUCACACUAAUCCUGCGUGUUUUAGUUGAGCAUUGGCAGCUGGUGGCCCUAACACUGGGAAGGACAUACAGCUGGUAUUCACCGGGCUAAAGAGGUUUUAGAACUACCUAAAAGUCCAGGGCCAGCAGGUGGGGAACUGGAUAGGGAGUGUCCUGGACUUUCACCCUUCAGGCUACUCCUGCCUAAACAGCCCUCUGGACUUUGACACCCCAACUCAGGCUAUAGAUUGGGCAAUCAUCUCUUCUCCCUUCUUAUGGCUAAGAGACCUUGAAAGAGAUCUUGCAGGAACCAUGCUGAUGUUUUCCAAGUAAAUAUUCUGCAAUUAGCAAACCUGAUUCCGCCACUCAAAGUUUGAAAGAAAAGUUGCUGGCCUAGUUUGUGACAUUUUCUGCUGGCUCCUUCUUUCUUAGAAUAAUUAUGUUAAAAGUAACUCGAACACAUUCUGCUCAUUGUCCUAACUUAAGGCUGUUAAGUUGGCAUUCCCCUGGUGUUCUAUUUGCUUUUUAAUUUUUUCCUGAAUUAGGAUCCCUCACAAUCCUUGGAAUCAAUGACUUGUUUUCCUGCCUCAAAUCUUUGUCCACAGUAUUCCAGUUCAUCCCCAAGCAGCUUCUGUUCUUUGUGCCUGCUGUCUAAGUAUAGUCUUUAGGUACUCUAGACCGGAAUAAAAUGGUCACUAUUAAAAAAAGACUGAAACAUGGGGUUUCUUCCCCAAAACCUGAAUCCAGUUGAGAUCAUUAUUUUGUCUUUUCCAAGUUGUUAGUAUUAUAUUGAUUUCCUUUUCUCUCCCACCACUUCUAUUCUCCCUCCCUCUUCCCACCGUCCCCCCUCCCUCCAACGGCAAUAAUUGUGCUUUAGAAAGCUCUGAAAGGCCUGCUCUGUUUCUGACCAGGGCCUCCUUUGAAAAGGAGAUUACAGUGAUUAAAAAUAACAAGUUGAGGAUCCUCAAGGGGCUUCCUUUAUAUAGGAGGACAAUUUGCAGGACCAGCCUUUCCCAGAUCACAAUUUCAAGCCAAAUAGAAGAAAAUCCACUGAAAUGUUUAAUAAUUGAUUGAAAAUAAAAGAGGCUCUUUUGUCUUACCAGAGGUCUGUUUAUUAGGAAAAUAAAGUCAGAUUCUGGCUAAUGAGAGUGGCUUUUCCUAGAUGUUUUUUAAAGGGACAUUUCCAGGAACUUGAUGGGAAAAGAAUGUCCAGUAGAGGUUUCAAAAGCUGGUCCAACUUCAAGCAUAAUUGGGGGUUUUAUCCUAAACUGAGAGGUUUGCAGACCUCCAAAGCUGCAUGGCUUUUUCUUUGUCCCACACUGAGACACACAUCGACCACAGGAGUAGACACCUCAGACUGGUGGAAAGCGCACAGGCUUUGAUGUUGGGUGGGUUGGUUUCAGGUCCUGCUUGGUCACAUAUUCACUGAAGCCACUUCACCUCUCUGAGCCAAUUUCUCCAUCUGUAAAAUGAGGGUGUUUUGAUUUUUUCCCAGCAUUCCUGUGAAAAUUAGAAAUAAUUCACGUCAAAAGAAAUUGUCACACAGUGGUUGCUAAAAAAAUAUGAGAUGAUUAUUUUGGAAAUAGAAAAAUACUUAGCGGCAAAGCCCUGGAUAAGAUAUUGUGUUAAGUUCUUCCUACUCAUCUCACUUAUUCCUUAUAGUACUUUGAGGAAGUUUCUGAUCGUUACUAUUUUACAGAUAAGAAGACUAAAUCUCAGAGAGGUUUAGUUCCUUACCCAUGGUCACACAGCUAAUAAUCGGCAGAAUCAGGAUAUGAUCUCAGGUCUGUCUGACUCCUAAAUCUGUGCUCUUAACCAGUCUUCUGUGUUGACUCAAUGAAAUUAGUUGGGAAUAGAAUGAAAUUCACUCAGCUACCCUCAGCCUUCUGGAUGGUGAGCCUUCCUUCAAGGAAAACAGAACAACAAAUCAAGAUAGUAACUGACAUCUCUCAGGAGAAUUACUUUAUAUUACUACAAAGUAAUAUAAAGUGAUAAAUCCUUAUUCACAUUUGCUCUUUUCUCUUAUUGGCUUCAAUGUUGUAUUUCCCCAUAAAUUAGAGGAUUAAUUUAGAAUCAUGAAGAACCUUGUCAGUCUUUGGCCAAUUCCUUUUGUUCGUGGGGAAACAAAAGGAAAUUAGAUAGGGGGGAAGCAAAAAAACCCAGAAAGAAAAGAAAAAAGAAAAAACAGAUUUUACUGUUGUUUUAUUUUUACAUACAGAUGUUAUAUGACCAUGCCUGUAAAAUUAUAUGUUUGGAAAGGACAUAUUUAGGAUCUGAGAAAUUGGUCUUUUAAACUAUUUCCUGGAUGGUAGAGUUUUUAAAAAUGUAAAUGCUGCUGAUGAUAUUAUAAUUAAGCCACCCCUCCUACUUCUCUUCCCUUUUUUGC